GACGAACGCUGGCGGCGUGCUUAACACAUGCAAGUCGAACGGAAAGGCCCGGCUUUUGUUGGGUGCUCGAGUGGCGAACGGGUGAGUAACACGUGAGUAACCUGCCCUUGACUGUGGGAUAACUUCAGGAAACUGGGGCUAAUACCGGAUAGGAGCUCCUGCUGCAUGGUGGGGGUUGGAAAGUUUCGGCGGUUGGGGAUGGACUCGCGGCUUAUCAGCUUGUUGGUGGGGUAGUGGCUUACCAAGGCUUUGACGGGUAGCCGGCCUGAGAGGGUGACCGGCCACAUUGGGACUGAGAUACGGACCAGACUCCUACGGGAGGCAGCAGUGGGGAAUAUUGCACAAUGGGCGGAAGCCUGAUGCAGCAACGCCGCGUGCGGGAUGACGGCCUUCGGGUUGUAAACCGAUUUCGCCUGUGACGAAGCGUGAGUGACGGUAAUGGGUAAAGAAGCACCGGCUAACUACGUG
RNAcentral lists this ribosomal RNA (468 nucleotides) under uncultured bacterium. RNAcentral's name for it is "partial 16S ribosomal RNA". It matches the Rfam family "Bacterial small subunit ribosomal RNA", at positions 28 to 507 of the family's 1533-position model. The record is from RNAcentral.